UCCAGACUCCUACGGGAGGCAGCAGUGGGGAAUAUUGCACAAUGGGGGAAACCCUGAUGCAGCGACGCCGCGUGAGCGAUGAAGUAUUUCGGUAUGUAAAGCUCUAUCAGCAGGGAAGAAAAUGACGGUACCUGACUAAGAAGCCCCGGCUAACUACGUGCCAGCAGCCGCGGUAAUACGUAGGGGGCAAGCGUUAUCCGGAUUUACUGGGUGUAAAGGGGGCGCAGACGGCGAUGCAAGCCAGGAGUGAAAGCCCGGGGCCCAACCCCGGGACUGCUCUUGGAACUGCGUGGCUGGAGUGCAGGAGGGGCAGGCGGAAUUCCUGGUGUAGCGGUGAAAUGCGUAGAUAUCAGGAGGAACACCGGUGGCGAAGGCGGCUUACUGGACCAUGACUGACGUUGAGGCUCGAAAGCGUGGGGAGCGAACAGGAUUAGAUACCCCAGUACC
RNAcentral lists this ribosomal RNA (447 nucleotides) under uncultured bacterium. RNAcentral's name for it is "bacterial SSU rRNA". It matches the Rfam family "Bacterial small subunit ribosomal RNA", at positions 330 to 794 of the family's 1533-position model. The record is from RNAcentral.